Non-coding RNA from Gossypium hirsutum (cotton), 1558 nucleotides. Lineage: Eukaryota; Viridiplantae; Streptophyta; Magnoliopsida; Malvales; Malvaceae. The record is from Rfam.
CCCCGAAAACCCAAGGGUUCCUCCGCAAGGUUCAUCUACGUAGAGUGAUUCAGGGCUUAAGAUCAGGCCGAAAGGCGUAGUCGAUGGAAAAUAGGUGAAUAUUUCUAUACUACCCCUUGUUGGUCUCGAGGGACGAAGGAGGCUAGGUUAGCCAAAAAAUGGUUAUUGGUUCAAGGACACAAUGUUUCCCUACUUUUUCAGGGUAAGAAGGGGUAGAGAAAAUGCCACGAUCCAAUGUUCGAGUACCAGGCACUUCGGAGUUGAAGUAAUCCAUACUAUACUCCUAGGAAAAGCUCGAACGACCUUCAACAAAAGGGUACCUAUACCCGGAAUCGACACAAACGGGUAGGUAGAGAUACCUAGGGCCAAAAGACAACUCUCUCUAAGAAACUCGACAAAAUAGCCCUGUAACUUCGGGAGAAGGGAUGCCUCCUCAUAAAGGGGGUCACAGUGAUUAGGCCUGGGUGACUGUUUACCAAAAACACAGGUCUCUACAAAGUCAUAAGACCAUGUAUGGCGGCUGAUGCUUGGCCAAUGCCGGAAGGUUAAGGAAGUUGGUGACCUGAUGACAGGGGAGCUGGCGACUGAAACCCUGGAGAACGACGGUCGUAACUAUAAUGGUCCUAAGGUAGUAAAAUUCCUUGUCGGGUAAGUUUCAACCCACACGAAAGGCAUAAUGAUCUGCGCACUGUCUCGGAGAGAGGCUCAGUGAAAUAGACCUGUCUGUGAAUAUGCGGGCUGCCUGCACUUGGACAGAAUGACCCUGUGAAGCUUCACUGUUCCCUAGGAUUGGCUUUGGGCUUUUCCUGUGCAGCUUAGGUGGAAGGCGAAGAAGGCCUCCUUCUGAGGGGCUCGAGCCAUUAGUGAGAUACCACUCUAGAAGAGCUAGAAUUCUAACAUUGUGUCAGAACCUACGGGCCAAUGGAAAGUCUCAGAUAAACAGUUUCUAUAGGGCAUAGGCCUCUCAAAAGGUAAUGGAGAUGUGUAAAGGUUUCUUCAGGCCGAACGGAGAUUGGUCUUCGAGUGCAAAGGAAAAAGGGAGCUUGAUUGCCAGACCCACCCAUAAAGUAGGGACGGAAGUCAGCCUUAGUGAUCCGACGGUGCCGAGUGGAAGGUUUGUUGCUCAACGGAUAAAAGUUACUCUAGGGAUAACAUGCUGAUCUUCCCCAAGAGCUCAUAUUGACAGAAAGGUUUGGCACCUUGAUGUCGGCUCUUUGCCACUUGGGGUUGUCGUAUGUUCCAAGGGUUGGGUUGUUCUCCCAUUAAAGCGGUAUAUGAGCUGGGUUUAAAACAUCGUGAGAUAGUUCAGUCCAUAUCUGGUAUGGGCGUUAGAGCAUUAAGAUGACCUUUCUUUAGUACAAGAGGAUCGGGAAGGAUGCACCUCUAAUGUACCAAUUAUCGUGCUCACGAUAAACGUUGGGUAGCACUUGUUGUUCCUCUACGCCUAGGACACUAGAAUAUUUAACCAUGAAUGAAAAAAGCCGUACGUGAAAAGGAAAAGAAUAUUGGCUAGUGAUUAUGAGGCCCCAAUUCUUAAUUGGAAGAGACACCAAAGGCC